RNAcentral lists this ribosomal RNA (301 nucleotides) under uncultured bacterium. RNAcentral describes it as "partial 16S ribosomal RNA". It matches the Rfam family "Bacterial small subunit ribosomal RNA", at positions 509 to 809 of the family's 1533-position model. The record is from RNAcentral.
CAGUCGCCGCGGUAAUACGAAGGGUGCAAGCGUUAAUCGGAAUUACUGGGCGUAAAGCGCGCGUAGGUGGUUUGGUAAGAUGGAUGUGAAAUCCCCGGGCUCAACCUGGGAACUGCAUCCAUAACUGCCUGACUAGAGUACGGUAGAGGGUGGUGGAAUUUCCUGUGUAGCGGUGAAAUGCGUAGAUAUAGGAAGGAACACCAGUGGCGAAGGCGACCACCUGGACUGAUACUGACACUGAGGUGCGAAAGCGUGGGGAGCAAACAGGAUUAGAUACCCCUGUAGUCCCUGUCUCUUAUAU